RNAcentral lists this ribosomal RNA (399 nucleotides) under uncultured bacterium. RNAcentral describes it as "partial 16S ribosomal RNA". It matches the Rfam family "Bacterial small subunit ribosomal RNA", at positions 338 to 735 of the family's 1533-position model. The record is from RNAcentral.
CCUACGGGAGGCAGCAGUGAGGAAUAUUGGUCAAUGGCCGAAAGCCUGAACCAGCCAAGCCGCGUGAGGGACGAAGGUCCUAAGCGUUGUAAACCUCUUUUGUCGAGGGACAAAAUCCGGCUCGAGACCCUGACCGCGUGUACUCGAAGAAAAAGCAUCGGCUAACUCCGUGCCAGCAGCCGCGGUAAUACGGAGGAUGCGAGCGUUAUCCGGAUUUAUUGGGUUUAAAGGGUGGGUAGGCGGACUGGUAAGUCAGCGGUAAAAGGCCGGGGCUCAACCCCGGCGAGCCGUUGAAACUGGCAGACUUGAGUGGGCGAGAGGUACGCGGAAGGCGCAGUGUAGCGGUGAAAUGCGUAGAUAUCGCGCAGAACUCCGAUUGCGAAGGCAGCGUACCGGCGG